Molecule: long non-coding RNA, 335 nt
Organism: Fukomys damarensis (Damara mole-rat)
Lineage: Eukaryota; Metazoa; Chordata; Mammalia; Rodentia; Bathyergidae
Exons: 3
Source: RefSeq, a predicted model, not a curated record
AUAAUCACAUAGAUAUACACAAUUGCCCAGACAAAAUUGAAGAAAUGCAUGGAAAUUAGAUAGUACCUUUUAGUUCUGGACAGAAAACUGAGCUUUGUCAUUAUUGAAUACAUAAAAUUUGAAGAGAAUAUGUUGAAGAUUUCAUCCCUUGCCAAAGAGGAGGAGAAGGUAUACAUUUUCUGUGAUUUGAUUGUGCUAGACUGGAGAUCCAGAUGGCCACAGGCAUCUGAAAUGAUACAUUAUUCCUUUCCCUGCAGGUGCUUCUAACUACUAAGGCAGCAGCAGGUAUGAACUCAGAUGGACACUAGGUUUGUGGGUUUUUUCACAGAGGCAAC